UUGGGUAACACUAACUGGAGGACCGAACCGACUAAUGUUGAAAAAUUAGCGGAUGACCUGUGGCUGGGGGUGAAAGGCCAAUCAAACCGGGAGAUAGCUGGUUCUCCCCGAAAGCUAUUUAGGUAGCGCCUCGUGAAUUCAUCUCCGGGGGUAGAGCACUGUUUCGGCUAGGGGGCCAUCCCGGCUUACCAACCCGAUGCAAACUGCGAAUACCGGAGAAUGUUAUCACGGGAGACACACGGCGGGUGCUAACGUCCGUCGUGAAGAGGGAAACAACCCAGACCGCCAGCUAAGGUCCCAAAGUCAUGGUUAAGUGGGAAACGAUGUGGGAAGGCCCAGACAGCCAGGAUGUUGGCUUAGAAGCAGCCAUCAUUUAAAGAAAGCGUAAUAGCUCACUGGUCGAGUCGGCCUGCGCGGAAGAUGUAACGGGGCUAAACCAUGCACCGAAGCUGCGGCAGCGACACUCAGGUGUUGUUGGGUAGGGGAGCGUUCUGUAAGCCUGCGAAGGUGUGUCGUGAGGCAUGCUGGAGGUAUCAGAAGUGCGAAUGCUGACAUAAGUAACGAUAAAGCGGGUGAAAAGCCCGCUCGCCGGAAGACCAAGGGUUCCUGUCCAACGUUAAUCGGGGCAGGGUGAGUCGACCCCUAAGGCGAGGCCGAAAGGCGUAGUCGAUGGGAAACGGGUUAAUAUUCCCGUACUUGGUGUUACUGCGAAGGGGGGACGGAGAAGGCUAUGUUGGCCGGGCGACGGUUGUCCCGGUUUAAGCGUGUAGGUGUGUGUUCCAGGUAAAUCCGGUUCACUUUAACACUGAGGCGUGAUGACGAGGCACUACGGUGCUGAAGCAACAAAUGCCCUGCUUCCAGGAAAAGCCUCUAAGCAUCAGGUAACAUCAAAUCGUACCCCA
This 902-nucleotide ribosomal RNA is filed under the name Salmonella enterica subsp. enterica serovar Oranienburg. RNAcentral describes it as "partial 23S ribosomal RNA". It matches the Rfam family "Bacterial large subunit ribosomal RNA", at positions 752 to 1651 of the family's 2925-position model. The record is from RNAcentral. Lineage: Bacteria; Pseudomonadati; Pseudomonadota; Gammaproteobacteria; Enterobacterales; Enterobacteriaceae.